GAUUUAUUCUACUCAAGCAGUCAGUGGAUGCCUUGGGAGUGUGUGCCGAAGAAGGACGUUUCAAGCCGGCGAAAGUCGACGGGGAGGUGGCUAAGAACUGUUAAUCCGUCGGUGUCCGAAUGGGGAAACCCACCCCGCUCAGCGGGGGGUUCUCGCCUUGUGCGAGAUCGGGAACUUGGGGAACUGAAAUAUCUAAGUACCCAGAGGAAAAAAAAUCGAAUGAGAGGCCCUUAGUAAGCGACGAGCGAAAAGGGCUGUAGUCCAAACCACGAUUUAUCGUGGGGUUGUAGGGUCAGACAUACGCUUUAGAAAAGAUAACAGAACACUGUGGAAUAGGUGACCAAAGAGAGUGAGAGUCUCGUAAGUGAAAUUUUUUCUAAAGUAGUUUGAUACCUGAGUACUUCUAGAGACGGCAAACUCUAGAUCGAAUCCGGGCCGACCACGGUCCAAGACUAUAUACGCACACUCACCGAUAGUGAACUAGUACCGCGAGGGAAAGGUGAAAAGAAGGGUCUGAAACCCAAUGAAAAGUACCUGAAACUGAUUGCUAACAAACAGACGGAGCCCCGCUCAGCGGGGUGACGUCGUGCCUAUUGAAGAAUGAACCGGCGAGUUACUCCAUACAGCAAGGUUAAACCGCUACGCGGUGGAGCCGAAGGGAAACCGAGUCUUAACAGGGCGUUAAGUUGUAUGAGGUAGACCCGAAACCAGGUGAGCUAACCAUGAGCAGGGUGAAGGUUCGAGAAAUCGAAUUGGAGGCCCGAACAGGUGAAUGUCGCAAAAUUCUCUGAUGACUUGUGGUUAGAGGUAAUAUGCCUAACGAACUUGGAGAUAGCUGGUUCUCCCCGAAACAUGUCUUGGCAUGGCCUCUUGAUUUAAGAACAGGGGGGUAAAGCACUGAAUUGAUUCCAGGAGUAAAAUCUUGGAACCAAACCAAACUCAGAAUACCCUGUUUAUAUGCAAGGGAGUCAGUACCCGGGGGCUAAGCUCCGGGGGCAAAAGGGAAACAUCCCAGACCCUCAAUUAAGGUCUCUAAAUCUAUAUUAAGUGGUAAAGGACGCGUUAUUUCUCAGACACCUAGGAGGUCGGCUCAGAAGCAGCCAUCCUUGAAAGAAAGCGUAACAGCUCACUAGCCGAGAGAUACGUGACCGAAGAUGUAACGAGGCUCAAAUAUAGUACCGAAAUUAGGGAUUCCGAUUUAUCGGGAUGGUAGGGGAGCGUUCUUGUGGCUUUGAAGGUGAACUGUAAGGUUUGCUGGAGCAGCAAGAAGUGAGAAUGCCGGUAUGAGUAGCGUAAACAAGGUGAGAAUCCUUGUAGCCGAAUGUCCGAGGUUUCCAACG
Molecule: non-coding RNA, 1340 nt
Organism: Candidatus Collierbacteria bacterium
Lineage: Bacteria; Candidatus Collieribacteriota
Source: Rfam